GGUUAAGUCCCGCAACGAGCGCAACCCUCGUUGUCUGUUGCUACAGGCUGCAAAAGUGCUGAGCACUCAGGCGAGACUGCCGGUGACAAACCGGAGGAAGGUGGGGAUGACGUCAAAUCAUCAUGCCCCUUAUGCCUAGGGCGACACACGUGUUACAAUGGGAUGGGACAACGGGCAGCUAGCCAGCGAUGGUCGGCUAAUCCCUUAAACUCACCCUCAGUUCGGAUUGGAGUCUGCAACUCGACUCCAUGAAGUCGGAAUCGCUAGUAAACGCGGAUCAGCCAUGCCGCGUUGAAUACGUUCCCGGGCCUUGUACACACCGCCCGUCACACCACGAAAGAGAGUCACGCCCGAAGUCGGUAUCCUAACCGUAAGGAGGGAGCCUCCGAAGGCAGGAUUCUUGAUUGGGGUGAAGUCGUAACAANGUANCC
Molecule: ribosomal RNA, 431 nt
Filed under: uncultured bacterium
Lineage: Bacteria
Description: bacterial SSU rRNA
Rfam family: Bacterial small subunit ribosomal RNA
Source: RNAcentral